GGAUUGACACAUCGGUCGUGCCUUAAGGGGUAUGAACUGGUGUAGUCAAUUUCUCACCUUCUGGAGAACCGCGAUGUCCUUAAUUGGGUGCCGCGGGGAACCAGGACCUUUACUUUGAAAAAAUUAGAGUGUUUAAAGCAGGCAUUUUGCUUGAAUACAUUAGCAUGGAAUAAUAAAAUAGGACGGAUGAUUCUAUUUUGUUGGUUUCUAGGACCACCGUAAUGAUUAAUAGGGAUAGUUGGG
Molecule: ribosomal RNA, 243 nt
Filed under: Glomus sp.
Lineage: Eukaryota; Fungi; Glomeromycota; Glomeromycetes; Glomerales; Glomeraceae
Description: partial small subunit ribosomal RNA
Rfam family: Eukaryotic small subunit ribosomal RNA
Source: RNAcentral